RNAcentral lists this ribosomal RNA (557 nucleotides) under uncultured bacterium. RNAcentral's name for it is "bacterial SSU rRNA". It matches the Rfam family "Bacterial small subunit ribosomal RNA", at positions 777 to 1343 of the family's 1533-position model. The record is from RNAcentral.
AAUAGAUACCCCGGUAGUCCACGCCGUAAACGAUGGAUGCUAGCUAUUGGGGGGAAUCGACCCCCUCCGAAGCGAAGCUAACGCGUUAAGCAUCCCGCCUGAGUAGUACGAGCGCAAGCUUAAAACUCAAAGGAAUUGACGGGGACCCGCACAAGCGGUGGAGCGUGUGGUUUAAUUCGACGGUAAACGAAGAACCUUACCAAGGUUUGACAUCCCGGUAGCCGUUCUCCGAAAGGAGAAUUUCAUUUAGUUGGACCGGUGACAGGUGAUGCAUGGCCGUCGUCAGCUCGUGUCGUGAGAUGUUGGGUUAAGUCCCGCAACGAGCGCAACCCUUAUGAUUUAGUUGGAUUUUUCUAAACAGACUGCCCUGGUAACAGGGAGGAAGGAGGGGAUGAUGUCAGGUCAGUAUUUCCCUUACACCUUGGGCGACACACGCGCUACAAUGGCCGGUACAAUGGGCAGCUAAGCCGCGAGGUGGAGCAAAUCCCAUCAAAGCCGGUCCCAGUUCGGAUUGCAGGCUGAAACCCGCCUGCAUGAAGCCGGAAUCGCUAGUAACC